This 2876-nucleotide ribosomal RNA is filed under the name Pseudobryopsis hainanensis. RNAcentral's name for it is "large subunit ribosomal RNA". It matches the Rfam family "Bacterial large subunit ribosomal RNA". Lineage: Eukaryota; Viridiplantae; Chlorophyta; Ulvophyceae; Bryopsidales; Pseudobryopsidaceae. The record is from RNAcentral.
GUCAAAAACAAAAAAGGCCCAAAACGGAUACCUAAGCAUUCAAAGCCGAAUAAGGGCGUGAUAACCGACGAAACGCUUCGAGGAGCUGGAAGUAAGCAAUGAAUCGAAGGUCCCCGAAUAGAGCAAUCUUAUAAAACUUUCUGACUAAUUCAUAAUCAGAAAAGAGAUAACCCGGUGAACUGAAACAUCUUAUUAACCGGAGGAAAAGAAAGCAAACGCGAUUUCCUGAGUAGUGGCGAACGAAACGGAAUUAGCCCAAACCGUAUAAUUUAUACGGGGUUGCGGGAUGUUGUAUUAUUGGCUUCACCGAAACAGCUGAAACCUGUACCAAAGAUGGUGAAAGUCCAGUCGAAAAGCCAAAAACGACAAAUCCCAAGUAGCGCCGGACACGAGAAAUCCGGCGUGAAUCCGCGAGGACCACCUCGCAAGGCUAAAUACUCUUGAAUGACUGAUAGCGUAAAAGUACCGUGAGGGAAAGGUGAAAUAGAACCCCCGAAGGGGAGUGAAAUAGAACAUGAAAUUUUGGGCUUUCAAACGGUGGGAGGAGAUAAUCUUUGACCACGUGCCUGUUGAAGAAUGAGCCGGCGACUCGUAUUUGAUGGCGGGGUUAAAAAGAUACUUUGGAGCCUCAGCGAAAGCAAGUUUUAAACGAGCAUAAAGUCAUCAAGUGCGGACCCGAACCCGAGUGAUCUAACCAUGGCCAGGAAGAAGCUUGGUUAAAACUCAGUGAAAGUCCGAACCGACCGAUGUUGAAAAAUCGGCGGAUGAGCUGUGGUUAGGGGUGAAAUGCCAAUCGAACUCGGAGCUAGCUGGUUCUCCCCGAAAUGUGUUGAGGCGCAGCGCUUGAAAACGGACCACAGAGGGGUAAAGCACUGUUUCGGUGCGGGCCGUGAAAACGGUACCAAAUCGUCGCAAACUCAGAAUACUCUGUGAUGUUUUCUUUCAAGCAGUGAGACCGUGGGGGAUAAGCUCCAUAGUCAAGAGGGAAACAGCCCAGAUCACCAGCUAAGGCCCCUAAAUGAUCGCUAAGUGUAAAAGGAGGUGCGAAUGCAGAGACAACCAGAAGGUUUGCUUAGAAGCAGCCACCCUUAAAAGAGUGCGUAACAGCUCACUGGUAUAGCGUUUGUGCGCCAAAAAUGUCCGGGACUAAGUGAUCUGCCGAAGCUGUGGGUUUGAAAAAAACGGUAGGGGAGCGUUCCGCGGGGGGUGAAGCAGAGCUGUGAAGCUUUGUGGACCGCGCAGAAGCGAGAAUGUUGGCUUGAGUAACGCAAACAUUGGUGAGAAUCCAAUGCCCCGAAAACCCAAGGGUUCCUUCACUAGGCUCGUCCGUGGAGGGUGAGUCAGACCCUAAGACCAGGCCGAAAGGCGUUGUCGAUGGAAAACAGGUUAAUAUUCCUGUACUAUAGUGAAUUCUGCAACGGGGGACGAAGUGGGCUAAACCAAUCGGGUUUUGGUUCCCGAUGUAAGCAGCUAAAGCUCUGAAAAUGAGAAGAAAAACUCAUUGAAUGCAAAGGCGCGAUGCGGCGAAGCAGUUUCCGAUUUUCGGAAUACUUUUUCGUUUGGCUUAGGUCGUACUUCCAAGAAAAGCCCGGAGUGCAAAUGAACUCACUAUAUCUGUACCCAAAACCGACACAGGUGGGUAGGUAGAAAAUACUCAGGGGCGCGAGAUAACUCUCUCCAAGGAACUCGGCAAAAUGGCCCCGUAACUUCGGGAGAAGGGGUGCCUUCAAUUGGAGGUCGCAGUGAAUUGACCCAGGCGACUGUUUACCAAAAACACAGGUCUCCGCAAAGUCGCAAGACGAUAUAUGGGGGCUGACGCCUGCCCAGUGCCGGAAGGUGAAGGAAGCUGGUUAGCUUAGCAAAGCUAGCAACCGAAGCCCCGGUGAACGGCGGCCGUAACUCUAAUGACGACGGUCCUAAGGUAGCGAAAUUCCUUGCCAGGUAAGUUCUGGCCCGCACGAAAGGCGUAACGAUCUGGGUACUGUCUCGGAGAGAGACUCGGUGAAAUAGACGUGUCCGUGAAGAUGCGGACUUCUUGCACCUGGACAGAAAGACCCUAUGAAGCUUGACUGUAUCUUGACAUUGAACUCGGGCUUUUCUUGCGCAGCCUAGGUGGGAGGCUAUGAAGAUCUUUUUUCGGAAAGGUUGGAGCCAUUAGUGAGAGACCACCCUUGAAAAACUAGAGUUCUAACAGCGAUCCAAGAAUCAGGACGCUGGACACUUUCAGGUGGGCAGUUUUUUUGGGGCGAAAACCUCCUAAAGAGUAACGGAGGUUCACAAAGGUUUUCUCAAACUGGCCGGAAAUCAGUUGUAGAGUGUAAAGGCACAAGGAAGCUUAACUGCAAGACGGACCUGUCGAGCAGGGGCGAAAGCCGGUCUUAGUGAUCCGACGGUACCGCGUGGAAGGGCCGUCGCCAAAAGGAUAAAAGUUACUCUAGGGAUAACAGGCUGAUCUUCCCCAAGAGUCCACAUCGACGGGAAGGUUUGGCACCUCGAUGUCGGCUCAUCGCAACCUGGGGCGGUAGUACGUCCCAAGGGUUGGGCUGUUCGCCCAUUAAAGCGGUACGUGAGCUGGGUUCAGAACGUCGUGAGACAGUUUGGUCCAUAUCCGGUGUAAGCGCUAGAGCAUUGAGAGGAUCUUUCCAUAAUACGAGAGGACUUGGAAGGACACACCUCUGGUGUACCAGUUCUUGCGCCCGCAGGAAACGCUGGGUAGCUAUGUGUGGAGCGGAUAACUGCUGAAAGCAUCUAAGUAGGAAGCCCACCUCAAGAUGAUUGCUCUCUUUGGAUCUCGGUGAGACGAACCGUUUGAUAGGUGUCAAGUGUAAGACUAGUAAUAGUUUCAGCUGAGACAUACUAAUCGAUCCAUUGAAUUU